ACUCCUACGGGAGGCAGCAGUGGGGAAUAUUGCACAAUGGGGGCAACCCUGAUCCAGCCAUGCCGCGUGUGUGAAGAAGGCCUUAGGGUUGUAAAGCACUUUCAGUUGGGAGGAAAAGUUUAAUCCUAAUACCUUCGCGUGUUUUCGUUACCUUUAGAAGAAGCACCGGCUAACUCCGUGCCAGCAGCCGCGGUAAUACGGAGGGUGCAAGCGUUAAUCGGAAUUACUGGGCGUAAAGCGCGCGUAGGCGGUUUGUUAAGUUGGAUGUGAAAGCCCCGGGCUCAACCCAGGAAUUGCACCUCAAACUCACAUACUAGAGUCCGAUAGAGGGAGGUGGAAUUUCCGGUGUAGCGGUGGAAUGCGUAGAUAUAUGGAAGAACACCGGUGGCGAAGGCGGCCUUCUGGACCACUACCGACAUUGAGGUGCGAAAGCGUGGGUAGCAAACAGGAUUAGAUACCCUGGUAGUUCACCCGAUGUCGCUACACGUUGAAUUCUCUUAGCUCCUUCAGUACUGAAGCUAACGCAUUAAGUUGUCCGCCUGGGGAGUACGGCCGCAAGGUUAAAACUCAAAUGAAUUGACGG
RNAcentral lists this ribosomal RNA (583 nucleotides) under uncultured bacterium. RNAcentral describes it as "bacterial SSU rRNA". It matches the Rfam family "Bacterial small subunit ribosomal RNA", at positions 335 to 916 of the family's 1533-position model. The record is from RNAcentral.